CCAUUUCUUGGGUUCCCGUUUGCCUAACAAGAUUACAUCUGAACUCCUUAGCAUGAUGUAUAACAGUCAUCAUGAUCUCCCUCCUGAAUUUCUUUUCUUGCACACACCAUUUGCAAAUCACCAGUGUCCUCCCAGGCAUAACAGGCUAAUUAUAAUUUUCCAAACACACUGUGUUUUGUGUGCAACCACUGAGGUAAAAAAUGCUGUCUGCAGGCUUAGAUGCACAGGGAGACUAGGCACCAGUAAUAUUUAGGUAAAUCAAAAAGAUACAAAAAGAAGUCAAGCUGACUGGCAUUCAGGCAGAGAGAUGAACCACUUUCUCCAAGGUGGAUGGAGACGUGAUCUUCCUGGCUGCAAGAUCCUCAACAAGGGGUUGCACAGUAGAAGAUCAUGUUUGAAUAAAUGAGGAUCAUAGCAGAUCUUCUGGAGGUUUAACCACCUUUGCCAAUCCCAGCCUUCCCUACAGGACAUUGGGGAGGUUAUCCCUCUAAGUUUAGAUGUAAACAUGUCAGGAAUUACCUCCCCUGGGCCAAGUGCCCCACAUAAAUCUUGGAGUUAAGCAAGGCAGAUUCCAGAAUAAUAGGCAUGGACCCAAACCUCACAUAUGACUCUUUUGUGCCCCAGGUUAAUGCUGCUUGGCUCAAAAUCAUUUCAGAACUUGGGUUUAUCAUCGAGUCAUCUUUGGGAUCAUGCUAACCAGCUCCUUAGGCCACCUAUAGGGACCAUUCUGCAAGAUGCAAGGGUCCCACCUGGGGGUCUUUGCAUGUCCCCUUGUCUGAUCUGGCCUUUCUCUUUCCAUCUCUACCUGGUGAACUGCUAAUCAUCUCUUAAAACUCAGUAUAGAUGUCACAACCUUGGUAAAAAUAUCUCUGCCCUUUCUUUGUUGUACUUCCAUUGUUUUAUAUCCUCAUUGUCCUGUGUGCACCCCCUCUUGCAGGGCACACUAAUAUUUCUGUCAUUGUCUUUUGCCUGUGUUAUAUUUAUCUUCACAUCCCAAGGACAUAGAUAAUGUCUUAGCAGAUGCUCACACAUGGUUUUCAAAUAAAUGAGUGAAACAAGGAGUGGAGGAAACAAAGGUAACAAACACAGGCAGUCAAAUAUUCACAGCUUGCUUAUAAGAGCUCAUUAGGGAUGUUGUAGAAGUGAAUUUGUUGGUAAAAAUAUUCAAUUUAAAGGUCAAUUUAAAGUAUCUAUAUAUGACAAUGACUCACAGGAUUGAUGUUGGAAAUGAACUAGGUGUAUCAGUCAGUGUCAGUUAACUGCUAUAACAAACAGACCCUCAAAUCUAAUGCUUUGGCCUCAAAGAAGUUUGAUUCUUGCUCAUGCAAAAUGUAAUGAGGGUAUUCUUGAGUGGAUGAUUCUGCUGCAAGAGGUGAAUAAGGGACUAAGCUAUUUCUAUCUUGUGACUGUACCAUCUUGGAAGUUCAAGGCUGCCUUUGUACCAGCCAGCUGUCUGUAGAGAUGGCAAGGAGGGCAUGAAAGUUCACUUAGGUUCAGGGGGCUAAAAAAUGUAGUAGAAAGAAAAUGGGGCGUUCUCAUGACCACUAUCUCUUCUGCACUGGGGAAUUAAAAAAAAAAAAAAAAAAAAAAAGAAAAGAAAAAAAGAAGGCGAGUGUGUAUUUAAAGCAAACAGUAGCUCAAUGGGAAAUAAUAUUUGCAGCUCUAUUUUAUCUAUCUUACAAACUCUAUUUUUAAAAGACCUGUAAAAUCAUAAAAGUCAUGUGGCAUUAUUUUUCAACUUUGUAAAUGAUUGCUUUGCAUUCAUUCAGUUAGACAGGAUAAUUUAACAGCAGUGAUACUAUCAGCAUCAUCAUCACCAUCAUCAUCAUCAUCAUCAUCAUCAUCAUCAUCAUGACUUCACUGAAGGCCUCUUAUGAGAUAUAGGUCACUGCCUCAGGUAAUGGAGUUUCAAGGAGGCAUAAAGUCUUGAGGAUCUUAUCAUCAAGUUGGGAAGUCAGAGUAACUACUUUCAUAAGGUAAAUCAUAAUGAAAGCCUGCACGUGCUUAGUGCUAAAUGAGUGGCAGUGAUAUUAUGGAGAAAUGGGCAUCCCUGAGAUCAAUGUAAUGUACUCUCAGAAAUAUGAGUAUUGCCUACAUCAGAGAAUCAUAGACUACAAAAACCAUGAAGGCCUUUAGGGAUGUAGGCCACCUCCUUCAUUUUACAGGUGAGUAUGGCAGCUUAUUUCUAAAGAUUUCUCCUCCCCUCCUCAUCUUAUGUAGGACCUUCUCCUGAACCUGAGCUGCCCUGUGACUUCCUCCUUACCCAGAAAAUGUGACAGAAGUAAUGUUGUACUAGUUCCAAGUUUAAGAGACCAAGACCUGGCAGUCUCUUAGAAUUCACACUCUAGUGGACAGGCAUUAUGGCUCACACCUGUGAUCCUGGAACUUUGGGAGGCCAAGGCAGGAAGUUUACUUGAGGCCAGGAGUUCAAGACCAGCCUGGUUAACAGCAAAAUCCCAUCUCUACAAAACUUUUUAAACAGUGAGUGAGGUGUAGUGGCAUGGUGGUGCAUGCCUACAGUCCCAGCUGCACUGAAUUAUGAUCCUGCUACUGCACUCCAGCCUGGGUGACAGAGCAAGACCGUAUCUUAGGAAAAAAAAAAGGCAAAAAAGUGUUUAUACUCUGGGGGAAGCUAGCAUCAUGUAAGAAGUCCAUUGUCUCUGAGAUGACCAUGCUCUGAGAAAGCUCAAACUCGUCACACAGAGAGACUUUAUAGUGAGUGGGAUUCCUAGCCAGAUGUUAGACAUUCCAGUUCAGAUGCCAGGCGUGAGAGAGAAGUAGCAGUCUCCGAUGUGCAGGUGAGUGAAUCAUUCUUAUGACCCCAGCUACCGCUUCCACCUGAUUCCAAGCACAUGAGAGAUGCCAGGUGAAAACCUCCCAGCUGAGUCCAGCCAACUCACAGAACCAUGGUUGCUUUAAGCCACUGAGUUUUGGAGCAGUGUGUUACACAGCAGUAGAUAAUCAGAACAAUGAGGAAACUGAGACCACCGAGGCUGAGUUCCCUUAGGGCAUACACUAUUUUAUGCAGAGCCAGGAAGAGAGCCACAUUCUGCAAUUCCCAAUCCAGUGUACUUGAGUCCAGGGCUUGUCAAAUCUUAGUAGGCACCAGAACCACCUGGGGAAGUUGCUGAACACUCAGGUUCCUGGGCUCCACCCUCAGAUAUUCUGAUUAAUAGGUCUGAGGUGGGAGUCUGAGAAUUUAUAUCUCUAACAAGCUCCAAGGUGAUGUUGAUGCUGUCAAUCGGUUGACUAAUUUUGAGUAGCCCUGCCUUACACCAGGCCUGAGCUAAUCUCCCAGCACAGGUUAGGCAAACAUUGGCAUCUGCUGGUUUACUAUUGUGCUUCUUGACAAUUACCUGUUUGCUGCAUUUCCAGGUAAGUAAUUGAAAAGCACAAAGUGACAGGUAUUGUUCAGGAUGUGCCCAGUUGCAGCUGAGCCCAAUUUUAGCUCUUCCAGCUGUAGGCUGAAGAAACCCAUAUGGUCUGUGAGCUAGACACCCUUAUCGGAGUUCUCCUAUCUGUAGGUAUGACAGUGCGGGUUUCAUAACCUUGUUACCAGAAGCAGUUAGGGUCAUCAUCCAGAUUUUCAGAUCCAUUUCCCAUAGAGACACACAUUAGGAAUCUCCCACAGUGAAUUUAAUUAGCAGGAAACAUAGCUCAGCCAGCGACCCACAGUGCAGAUAACAGCCGUGGCUGCCCAGUGAUAGUGGCUCCCUUUUCUUAAAAAAUGACAGGUUUCCUAAAAGGUGGUGAUGAGUCCCAGCCUGAGAUUCUUCAGGUAGGAAUCUCUGUGCAGCCUGAUUUCACGUAACCAAGCAACUCACGCAUCUUCCUUCUAUUCAAUUUAAAGAACUUCCGUAGGAAGAGAUGUGAGUGAGGAAGGAUAACGGAUUGCAAAUGGCAGCAUUAGGCAUUUCCCCAGUGUACCUGGGCUUAUUUUGGCCAGUGGUGUGUUUCUGCAGAUGUUCUGCAUGUGAUACAGUAAUCAUAUUUACUUCUGGAAUUGUUACUGAAGGUUAUUUAAUGAGUAAUGUAGGAUAUCUAAUAGCCCACAUUAAUGGCAGGGAAGCUAUGAAUUUGCUUUAGUUUAUCUCUGCAUAAAAAGCCAUAGGAUUAGUCUGCUUGCAUUGUGUGCUGGAGUUUAAAGAUGACCUUGUUAAGCAUUAAUGAAAGUCGUAGGCAAACAUUUGUCAAGCAUCAGUGGAUGAAUAGACCCCUCUUAUGCAGAAUAUUCAUGCCGUCCAUUACAAUAACUAUUAGAUAUAAUGUGAGGAAUUGAUCGAAUAUGCUGCUUGUAAUAUAAUCCUAUAUGAGGAUUAAUGAUUAUAUUAAGUACCAGAUGCUAUAAUUUGGCAUUGACUACAGUUAUUGGUAAACCGACAAUUUUUCAUAUCCCCAGUGUUUCUGGUUUGGACUAAUUGAUGGAUGUUCAAAAUUUAGCCAGAGCUUUUACAUUAAUGGGGCCCUGUGACUUAGGGCAGGUGAUCAAGGCAAUGUAACCUGGACUUCUGAGGAGUUAGUUAUGAAAGGAGCGAGCUCCUGGGUCAGUUAGUGAAUGCCUCUUAUUUUUAAUUGUGAUACCGGUUCCUACUACCACAAGCAGCAAUAUUUGAAGAAGCUCACCCCUUAUAUUCAUCGUCGCCAAGGUAAAACAGUAUUAUUUUUAAGUCUCAGUGACUCUCACUAUUAAAAAUCACAGCUAUUUGUUUAUUGACAUUUAUCUGAUCACUACUGAAAAGACUUUUUUUCCUUGUGUUCAUAGGGUUUUUGCUUCUCUUUCUCUUUUUCUAGUCUGUUUAUGAAUGUUAACCAAUUUUUCAUUGAUAUUUUUGCCUUCCCUUUUUAUUGAUUGGAAAGAAGUUGUAUAUGCAAGAUUGCUGAGCCUGGGCCACUGAGUGACAUCAGUAGCACAAGUAUUGAGGGUACUCAGGAGUAUCAGAAGCCAUGUGGCCAGGCAAGUUGAUUAGAUAAAGGGGGUUGGGGAGCAAAGGUGGGUUUCUGUGAACCCCACUUAAGAGUUUGCAUGGGGGUGGGAGUGGUAAAUGAAAAAUAUUUACCAAAGUAGGACUAGCAAGCAACUCUCUAAAUAAGUUGAAGUUUUUGGUAAUGUAUUGCUUUAAUUUACAUUCACUUUAUAGUCCAUGCACAUGAGGAUUAUUUGGAAGAGGUUUAAUUUUACUAGCUGCUGAAUGCAGUACGGUUGCUAGCAACAGAGCAGAAAGAGCUUGGCUGUUUGCUAAUGCACUUGGGCUGUACUGUAACUACGCAAGGCAGGGCUAGUGGCGGUGGAGUCAAUAAACAUGCAGUUCUCUGGCUUUGAGGGUUAUUUGUUUUACUGAGCCAAUAUGUUUUUUCUAGUUAACAUUUUUCUGUAGUGUUCUGUUUUCGCCUAUGUUUGAAAGGCUUGUAAAUACAGCUUGAAGGUGCUGGGGAAGGAAAAGGUAUUGCCAACUUCAUCUUGGUGGAUUAAAUUCACUGUAUCUGCUUCUUUCCCCAUGAAACCCAAACAUGCUGAGCUUGCAUGUGUUUUGAGAUAUGGCAGAACUGAGCUUAAAACCUGAGCUUUUUCAGGUGUGAGGGCCCUUAUCUUUAGUAGGCCCCAAAUAACUCUUAAAAUGGCCAGAAAAUCUGAUUUCUUAUUAUGACCUACCCCAAUUUUUGUCACAUGUUUUAUGUUUGGAGUCACAUAAAUAUUCUGGCCAUUUUAAUCAGUGAAAAAACUAUAUUUGGUUGAGAGUUUAGUUUGUUACUACUGGGAAAUUUGAUUUAUCUGUUUUAAGAAACCAUCUGGAGUAAGUUUAUUCAUAUUACGUGUCAUGCAUAUAUUUAUGCUGCAAGAUCAAAAUCCUUAAAUUACAUCCUUUUGAAAUUUUAUACAUUGUAUAAUGACAAUUGCCAACACCACAACGAUGUGAUUGCAUGGCUUUCAAAAACGGAAACAUUGUACAACAAAAAGAUUACAACGUGUAAUGAACAAGUUCAUUUGCUCAAAUAUAAAUGUGUGGUGAAUAAUGAAAUGCAUGCACAAUGAGCCGAGAUGAAUCUUCUGUCAUUAAAAAUACAAUUACAGUGUAUUGAAAUUUCCAAAGUCUAACAAAAGUAAAUAGAUAUAUUGUUAUGCAGCCAAAACCAGAUUCAAUUCAUUUGUGAAAGUUUUCCUUAAUUAUGCCAUAAAUAUAUCAAGUAACUUAUACUUAAUAAGGACUAUGCAAAAAUAUUGAUAAUUUGUAUGUGUGCACAUGUGUAUUUUUUUUCAAUCAAAGGAGUGGUGUUUAUCUGAACCUGCUCUGUGUGUAAUUUAAAGUCUUCCCAGGUAGGCUUUAUUCUCCUGCUAUUGUCACUUGACCUCACACCUUCGUAUCUUUCUGAGAGCACCAUUGCCUUCCUUUAUGCCUUACUCUCUUUCUAGCAAAAUCAUUUUGCAGGAAGAGAUCUGAGGAAUACAGUCAUGCAAAAGGAUGACCUAAUGGAAUGCCAAGUUGGCAUGCACAUGGCAUGGCAGAUCCCUCCUGACAUUGUGCUCAUACCAGCAUGAAUUGGAAUACCAAGGUUGCCCACUUACUAUCUAACCUAAGCUAAAGCAAAAGUGAAAAAUCAGGAGUUUACAUUUUCUACAAAACAUUUCUCUUGUAUGCGGUUUUAGCUGUCAAGCUUGUGAAACUGUUAUUGUGACUGUAGUGGAGUCUAUUUAUGUUUAAUGCUAGCGUCUAAUGUAGAAAAGUGUGCACACAUCGAAAACGACUCUCUGGAACUCAGCAUAUAGGUCUGUCUGUAUUGAAAAUCUUUCCACCAGACAGCCAGAAAAAAAGCCCUGCAAAUUUAGAAGCAAACUAUAAAAAUGCAAGCAGCUGGCUGGAGCACAGUAAGGCUCAACAGAGGGACCUCAUGAAACCAACAAUGGUAAUCGUUAUUUAAAGAAACUGGCUUAUUCUAAACAGCAUAUUGCAUUUGAAUGCUUUCUAGAUGGCCAAAUUAGUACGGACAUAACAAGAUCCUAGAAAUUAGCUUUCUGGUAGGUUUCAAUGUGGAGAUUAUUUAUGCUGAUCCAUCGUUUUGUAUCUCCCAUCCAGAAUGCUUUUUAUCCAAUUGGCUUUAAAAAA
Long non-coding RNA from Cercocebus atys (sooty mangabey), 7100 nucleotides. RefSeq lists it as uncharacterized. The record is from RefSeq and is a predicted model, not a curated record. NCBI's taxonomy places the organism in Eukaryota, Metazoa, Chordata, Mammalia, Primates, Cercopithecidae. The transcript has 3 exons.